UAGAUACCCUGGUAGUCCACGCCGUAAACGAUGUCAACUAGCCGUUGGAAGCCUUGAGCUUUUAGUGGCGCAGCUAACGCAUUAAGUUGACCGCCUGGGGAGUACGGUCGCAAGACUGAAACUCAAAGGAAUUGACGGGGGCCCGCACAAGCGGUGGAGCAUGUGGUUUAAUUCGAAGCAACGCGAAGAACCUUACCAGGCCUUGACAUCCAAUGAACUUUCCAGAGAUGGAUUGGUGCCUUCGGGAACA
RNAcentral lists this ribosomal RNA (250 nucleotides) under uncultured bacterium. RNAcentral's name for it is "partial 16S ribosomal RNA". It matches the Rfam family "Bacterial small subunit ribosomal RNA", at positions 779 to 1028 of the family's 1533-position model. The record is from RNAcentral.